AUUAACUCUAAUGACAGCCCCACUUUUGGCUAAGAUCAAAGUUUAGUUUUUGUUCUUAUCGAAUUAACCUUUGAUAGAGGAUCGAAAGAGUCUCGUUAAGGUUGUUUGAUUCAGAUCAGUUUGCGAGCUUGCUGGCACCUCAUCGAAGGUCGGCUCGGCGUGGCACUGCUGCUGGGAUCGGCCCAUUUCCG
Molecule: small nuclear RNA, 191 nt
Filed under: Ancylostoma ceylanicum
Lineage: Eukaryota; Metazoa; Nematoda; Chromadorea; Rhabditida; Ancylostomatidae
Description: U2 spliceosomal RNA
Rfam family: U2 spliceosomal RNA
About the family: U2 is a small nuclear RNA (snRNA) component of the spliceosome (involved in pre-mRNA splicing). Complementary binding between U2 snRNA (in an area lying towards the 5' end but 3' to hairpin I) and the branchpoint sequence (BPS) of the intron results the bulging out of an unpaired adenosine, on the BPS, which initiates a nucleophilic attack at the intronic 5' splice site, thus starting the first of two transesterification reactions that mediate splicing.
Source: Rfam by way of RNAcentral